CGCAGCAGAAGCACCUGACGGUGGCCCAGGAGGCCGGCAGAGGACGCCUGAGCAGUGUCAUCGCUGAAGGACAGUUAAAAGUGGACUCUCCCCCCUCACUGUUAAAGUCAGGCAGUGUCUUUAGAAGGAACUCCUGAAAGUUCUACAGAAAACCAGCCCUGAGAACAGUCCUUGGCUCAUCAACGCUUGUCCUUUCACUACUGGAUGGUUUUCCUCAUCUCAGCUGUCAAUCUGAUGCCGUCUGCGGGAAGAGGUGCCUUGGCGGCCCGAGUCUUUCCUUCAAGGAAACUGCUUUGGGAAGGCUAGGAAACCCUGCCUAUCUUGCAUUGACGAUGUCACAUCUAUACCUCAUGUUAAGAAACAAUUGCAACCGCUUUUACCCAGAUCAAGAGCAUGAAGGUUAAGGUUGUGAAUACAGUGCCACAGGGGCCUUCUUCCCUCCCCCAAGAGCGCUUAAACAUUUCAACGGAGGUUCCACUUACCUAAACAAUAAAGAAAAAGAAUCACACCUAGGUUUUCAUGAACAUGUCUCCCUUGGGACAAGGCCAGCUGAGUCUAGCACCAAAGACGCCUUUGAACUUGGCUUGAAAAACUGGACAGCAAGGAGUUCCAUAUACUUCUAAAACAAAAUGUGCCUCUGUAUUUCAUUCCUCAGAGCCCAACUUGUUCAUCUUACCCACCCAUUCGUCCUUGCUUGCAUGUCUCCAUCAUUUAUUCAUUCAACAUUUCUUGGACUCUCAACUUCUAAAGCAGUCGACAUUGCUAUUUUGUUGGAGAUUUCCUUUGGGAUUGGUUAGGGAAGAGAAGCUUUCUAGUUUAAAACAAUUUUAAAUAGAGAAUGAUAUUUUUUUGAGAUGUGCAAGAUGAGGCAAGGGUGAGGAAUGAAGAAGGGGAAGAAGCUGAAUAUGCAACUUCAACAUGCGCGCAGGGCCAGCCUGGCCUUUGCUGCUGUCAGAAAGGCUGUAUAGGCCACGCUCAGUGGAACCUGCCGUGGCGGAUGGCUGGGCCCAGGAGGCCGCACUCCUGCUUGACUGAGCCAGAGGGAGCAAGGAGACCGGAGGGAUGGAAGCCGAGAAGGACUCCACCAACCGCCUGAGCUCAGGGUUCAAGGGAAGCCUCCUGGGGGCUCGCUUGGGGCUCGACACACCAAGACGGUUCUCUGCAGAGGACGAUCCUCGCUCGCAUCUGAUGGAAAGCAGAUGUGGUGUGGCUGGUUCUUUGCUGCGUGUCCCCCUGCUCUGACCGCACACAAUACAUCCCACGCCAGGCCUCCGACUGUCAAGGCCAGAGCCAGGUGCCUGGGCUACGCGUAUCCUUCUCCAUCAGUCAUACUGCAGGGAGCAGACAAUUAAUUCUGGAGCAAAAUUGAAAGUCAGAGGCAGAGUCUGAAAGAACAGAAUGACAAUAAUAAAGUGCCCCAGCCUCGCAUUAAUCUCCCUCACUUCAGGCCUGUCACAGCCGGCCUGGCUGUGACUAAUGCCAAGCUUUGCAUACAGUGGUCACAGACACGAGCAGCGUGCUCCCUUUACAGCGCCUGGGAUGCGCUUUCUUGGGUUUUUGACUGGUGUGCAGUCUCUGCAAAAACAUCGCCUCCGGCCAUAGGAGCAGAGACCUGGUUUGACUGGUAGCAACUGUGUCCCGCUCCCUGUCCUUGGAGUUUCAGCCCAGACACCUUUUCCUUCGGAUGUCUUUGCUGAGAUUUCUGUGAGAUUUUCAAGCAUGGAUCUAUGGUGAUCAUGCCAGCAGCUGGUCUGAAGGUGGAAUGAAUCAGUGCAGCAUUUCCCAGACUUGCCUUGUUGAAAGACACCGGCGGGGAUACUCCAAACCAGGGUUCCA
Molecule: long non-coding RNA, 1836 nt
Organism: Condylura cristata (star-nosed mole)
Lineage: Eukaryota; Metazoa; Chordata; Mammalia; Eulipotyphla; Talpidae
Exons: 4
Source: RefSeq, a predicted model, not a curated record